This 76-nucleotide transfer RNA is filed under the name Thermoplasmata archaeon. RNAcentral's name for it is "tRNA-Pro". Lineage: Archaea; Methanobacteriati; Thermoplasmatota; Thermoplasmata. RNAcentral also lists the same sequence under 3 other names. The record is from RNAcentral.
GGGCCCUUGGGGUAGCUUGGUAUCCUUCAUGCUUGGGGUGCAUGUGACUCCAGUUCAAAUCUGGGGGGGCCCACCA